UACGGAGGAUCCAAGCGUUAUCCGGAUUUAUUGGGUUUAAAGGGUGCGCAGGCGGGAAUAUAAGUCAGUGGUGAAAGUCUGGCAGCUUAACUGUAGAAUUGCCAUUGAUACUGUAUUUCUUGAGUGUAAUUGAGGUAGGCGGAAUGUGUAGUGUAGCGGUGAAAUGCUUAGAUAUUACACAGAACACCGAUUGCGUAGGCAGCUUACUAAGUUAUAACUGACGCUCAUGCACGAAAGCGUGGGGAUCAAACAGG
RNAcentral lists this ribosomal RNA (254 nucleotides) under uncultured bacterium. Its description in RNAcentral is "partial 16S ribosomal RNA". It matches the Rfam family "Bacterial small subunit ribosomal RNA", at positions 524 to 776 of the family's 1533-position model. The record is from RNAcentral.